RNAcentral lists this ribosomal RNA (425 nucleotides) under uncultured bacterium. RNAcentral describes it as "partial 16S ribosomal RNA". It matches the Rfam family "Bacterial small subunit ribosomal RNA", at positions 354 to 796 of the family's 1533-position model. The record is from RNAcentral.
GUUAGGAAUAUUGGACAAUGGGCGCAAGCCUGAUCCAGCCAUGCCGCGUGAGUGAUGAAGGCCUUCAGGUUGUAAAGCUCUUUAGUCCACGAAUAUAAUGACUGUAGUGGAAGAAUAAGCCCCGGCUAACUUCGUGCCAGCAGCCGCGGUAAUACGAAGGGGGCGAGCGUUAUUCGGAAUCACUGGGCGUAAAGCGUGCGUAGGCUGUUUUGUAAGUCAGAAGUGAAAGCCCAGGGCUUAACCCUGGAAUUGCUUUUGAAACUACAAGACUCGAAUUCGGGAGAGGAUAGCGGAAUUGUCAGUGUAGCAGUGAAAUGCGUAGAUAUUGACAGGAACACCAGUGGCGCAAGCGGCUAUCUGGACCGAUAUUGACGCUGAGGCACGAAAGCGUGGGGAGCAAACAGGAUUAGAAACCCGGGUAGUCC